This 859-nucleotide ribosomal RNA is filed under the name uncultured bacterium. Its description in RNAcentral is "bacterial SSU rRNA". It matches the Rfam family "Bacterial small subunit ribosomal RNA", at positions 18 to 912 of the family's 1533-position model. The record is from RNAcentral.
CCUGGCUCAGGACGAACGCUGGCGGCGUGCCUAAUGCAUGCAAGUCGAACGCAGCAGGCGUGCCUGGCUGCGUGGCGAACGGCUGAGGAACACGUGGGUGACCUGCCCCGGAGUGGGGGAUACCCCGUCGAAAGACGGGACAAUCCCGCAUACGCUCGACGGAGGAAAGCCGCAAGGCGCUCUGGGAGGGGCCUGCGGCCCAUCAGGUAGUUGGUGUGGUAACGGCGCACCAAGCCAAUGACGGGUACCCGGUCUGAGAGGACGACCGGGCAGACUGGGACUGAGACACGGCCCAGACUCCUACGGGAGGCAGCAGCAAGGAAUUUUCCCCAAUGGGCGCAAGCCUGAGGGAGCAACGCCGCGUGGAGGACGACGGCCUUCGGGUUGUAAACUCCUUUCGGGUGGGACGAUGCUGACGGUACCACCAGAAGCAGCCCCGGCUAACUCUGUGCCAGCAGCCGCGGUAAGACAGAGGGGGCAAGCGUUGUCCGGAGUUACUGGGCGUAAAGGGCGCGCAGGCGGUGGGCUGCGUCGGCGCUGAAAGCGCCCCGCUUAACGGGGCGAGGCGCGCCGAUACGAGUCCACUCGAGGCAAGCAGAGGGUGGCGGAAUUCCGGGUGGAGCGGUGAAAUGCGUAGAGAUCCGGAGGAACGCCGGUGGGGAAGCCGGCCACCUGGGCUUGACCUGACGCUGCGGCGCGACAGCGUGGGGAGCAAACCGGAUUAGAUACCCGGGUAGUCCACGCCGUAAACGAUGCCGGCUCGGCGUCUGGCGCACGUUGGUGUGCUGGGUGCCUUAGCUCACGCGGUAAGCCGGCCGCCUGGGGACUACGAGCGCAAGCUUAAAACUCAAAGGAAUUG